RNAcentral lists this long non-coding RNA (1743 nucleotides) under Brachypodium distachyon (stiff brome). Its description in RNAcentral is "long non-coding RNA (BDIS_LNC005980)". The record is from RNAcentral. Lineage: Eukaryota; Viridiplantae; Streptophyta; Magnoliopsida; Poales; Poaceae.
UCACGGGGAGGGGUCUUUGAGGGACAUCGACAUGAUGCCCUGGUAGGCAUUGAGUGUCAGCAUCGAGAUGACCCUCCUCUUCUUCCUCUCAGGCGAAGCCUUGGGGUCUCCCCCGAUUUGUCCUCCAACCGUCAAAGCAUAAGUGCUAGAACGUCCUGAUUUGUGCUUGAACGGAGAAGCUUCCACGAGCGUAGGUGUAGCAGGACCAUUCGCCAGAUCACCUGCAUUGAAGACCAUACAGAAAACGAAAAAAGAGAUUAUUACGACAUUUCCAUAACGACCAAAGAACGGCUGCAGUAGUCAUAUUAAGUACUUCAUUUCUCCUAUUCCCCACCCAGAAAUGUGCAAUUUGUUCUAGGCCAGAGCCCAGGGUUUUUCCAAGUAACAAACUCAUGAAUUCCCAAACAAUUGUGGCCACGACACAGUCAAAGAACAUGUGUUGUGUAGUCUCAGGUUCAGCACAAAAUAAGCAAGUAAGAUCAUUAACAUGUUGUCUCUUCUGCAAGUUAUCUCUAGUUAGAAUUCUGUUAUGACUCACUAACCAGAGGAAGGUAUGGAUCUUGGGUGGUACAUGUAAUUUCCAAACAGUUUGUACAAAAACAGGUGUGAUCCCUCCUUGAAGCUACAGUUAGUGAGAGCAGUCGGUCUGUAUUUUUUUAUACUAGUAGCAUCAGCCUCCUUGGGGAUAAGGGUAAUCAUAGCAAAGUUGAGUCUAUACAGGUCCAAGGUGUUAUAGCAGAAUUUGGACACUAAGGACAUUAAGUCUGUCUUAAUGGUCCCCCAAAAUUGUUGAUAGAAUAAGAAGGGGAAGCCAUCAGGGCCAGGGGCACCCCUAGCAUAAGAAUUGAAGACAGCUGUUCUAAUUUUCUCUUCAGAAAAAUCCUGAGUGAGUAGUUCAUUUUCUUCAGAAGAAAUCAAAUCUGCAUCAUCCCAGAAAUCAUGGGAAAGGGAGAUUUGUAGUAAGCUAAGUGAGGUUCAGAGCUAAAUAGAGAUUUGUAGUAAGCUACAGCAAUCUCCAUCAUACCCUUAUUAUCAGUGAUAGGUCCAUUGUCUCCCUCUAGGGAGAGAAUCAUUUUAUUUCUUUUCCUUUGAUUGGCCACAGCUUGGAAGCUGUAUUUAGUAUUUCUAUCUCCUUCAAGUAUAUCUUUUUCCCUAGAUCUCUGUCUAGCCUUAAGUUCAUUCCAUAUAUCUUUCGGACGUUGGUGUUUUUCAAGGAGGAGGGUUUGUGUUUCAGACAUAUUGUCAAGGCAAGUAAAUUCAGCCGUAAAUGCUUGCUUAAGCUUUUUAUUGUCGGCUUCAGCAUUUGAGUUCCAGCCUCCAGGGAGCUUCUUGAGUCUCGUGAUCUUGAAUUGCCGAAUUUCUAAGGGGUCAGACCAAGGACGGACGUGAGAGCUACUACGGCAAGUACUAUUCCGGAUUCCAGAAGUGGAGGAAACAGCAUUGGAAUGAUCGACCUAUGUUGUGAAGGAUGAUGGCGUUGUUGUGUUUGUGAGAGCAUGGGCAUUUGACGAGAUCCGGAUCGAGGUCCACCCGUCGUCAUCUUGUGCGCGCUCUGGUAUGGGGCACACGCGGCGCCGCACACAUGCCAAAGAGCGAGCGAAUGGACGGCCACCCGUGCACGCAUCUGCCUGCCCCCCUCAGGCCCCGGCGAGCGCGUUGGUCCUCCCAAGCCCUAGCUUGGCUCCUGGUAGGCCGACCUUUUUUCAAAUCUUUGAGCUUGACGCCCGGCACGUGCCCUGCUUC